This is a long non-coding RNA of Nematostella vectensis (starlet sea anemone), 1213 nucleotides long. RefSeq lists it as uncharacterized. The transcript is spliced from 2 exons. NCBI's taxonomy places the organism in Eukaryota, Metazoa, Cnidaria, Anthozoa, Actiniaria, Edwardsiidae. The record is from RefSeq and is a predicted model, not a curated record.
AUAUACCCCGGGGAUAGCGUCGCGCAGUCUAGAACUGAGUGCUUUUUAAACGCUGGUCCGUUUGACAAAUUGACAACACGCAAUUGAGGACACCUGGAUACCCGCGCCCACGAGCUAGUUGGAGGAGGCAGAUAAUCGCUCUGUUUGCUAGAGGGAGUCCCGUCAUCACCGGUAGCAAUACUCACUGCAUUAGAGCAGGUCAUCGACUUGUUCACUGUGCCUAUGAAGACACAAUUGGAAGACAAUACUCACCGAAAGUAUUGCACUUGUUUUGUACACACGCAUUCCUUAACGCCGUUUCGCACGGUAGCUAUCAGAGUACUGGGUAGCUAUCGCCUAUUGCUCUCUGCGUUGUUUGGAUAAACGCGGAGAAAUGGGUUUUAGCCGGCGCGGAUCGUUUGAAAGGUACCGUUAACUGCAUUCCUGACGGCUGUUUAGCUCAUCGCUUGUCGUCCAUUACCGACAAUUUCACCUUCAAUAAACAAACAGCACAGAGUUUUUAAUAGAGCCCGGUGAAGCCUGGCUGUGGUCGGAGUCAGAUUGCGCGCGACAGACUAAUGAAGUGUUCAAUUAAGGAAGUGCUCGGCCUUGGGUAAACGCACGUUGGGAGACGACCUAUGCGUGGAAUCUCACUACCGCGCGUCAUACUCACGACUCUGCCUGAGUUUAUGUCUCGAUAAACAUCACAUUGCGAUGCUAUUACUGGCCUUCUUUGGCUUUACCCGAAAACAGAAAACAUUGAUAAUUGCCGAUGUUUCGCCAAGAAAAAAUUAAUGUAUUCCGUUUCUAGAACAAAAAAGGCACGCCCAAAACCCAUUAGUCACGCGUUGCCAACAGUGCCAGGGCGUUUUGUGGUUUCAUGUCGUCAAUGGUGCAUCGAUACCAAGUCAGCUAUUAUUUAUUUGUUUCUGCAUUUUAGCAUUUGCAUUUUACAUGGCAAACAAAAGUUUAGAGCUGCUAUAUUUUUGUCAGGAUUCGUUAUUCAAGAGAAAAUGUAUAUCUAUGAUUUGUUUAAUAUUUAGGAUUAGUUUUUUCAACUUAGCAUAAAUAUUUAUUUAUUUCUAGGGACAAGAGCAGACAAGCAGACAAGACAAGCGCACUUUCAAUGAAAAAUGUUUCAAUGUUUCAUAAAAUGCAAUAUCAUCCUAUCGUGCUAAUUCAUUCUAACUCUCUCACCUCAUGCAACAGACAAUAAAAAUAGCUUAUAAAAUCA